UACGGAGGGUGCGAGCGUUGUCCGGAAUCACUGGGCGUAAAGGGUGCGUAGGUGGCAUGUUAAGUUUGAUGUGAAAGCUCAGGGCUUAACCCUGAAAUGGCAUUGAAUACUAGCGUGCUGGAGGUUUGGAGGGGGGACUGGAAUUCUUGGUGUAGCAGUGAAAUGCGUAGAUAUCAAGAGGAACACCGGUGGCGAAGGCGGGUCUCUGGGCCGAUACUGACGCUGAGGAGCGAAAGCGUGGGGAGCGAACAGG
RNAcentral lists this ribosomal RNA (253 nucleotides) under uncultured bacterium. RNAcentral's name for it is "partial 16S ribosomal RNA". It matches the Rfam family "Bacterial small subunit ribosomal RNA", at positions 524 to 776 of the family's 1533-position model. The record is from RNAcentral.